GUAAUUCGAUUGCGGAAAUGUUUUAAAUCAACAGUAGCAACCUCAACUUCAAGCUCCAGCCAUCUUCAAUCUCCCCCUAUCUGAUCAGACCUAAAGCUCCCUUUGGCUGCAACAACUCAACUUGGAUUUAAGAGGAACCUUAUUUCGAAGAAUUUAAGGUGGUUCUCUGUUUUUUUCCUCUUUGACUUUGGGAGAGAAAGAGGGGAAGGGGAAAGGGGGGAAAUGAGAAGUGAACCUCAUUGAAUUAUUGUAUUUCCUCCUCUUCAUUUCUUUGCCAUUCUUUUUCACUCUAUUUCUUCUUGUUCUUUCCACUGUUGGAGCUUAGAACAAUUGUUUUAGUUUUACAGGUUGAACAAAUUUCUAUCAAAUCUUACCCAUUUCUUUAGCACUUGGUUUGGGCAUUAGAUUAUGACAAAAUGGGUGAACUUUUGUUUGGUUUGGAGAAUUUUUCAUUUUUUGAGUUUCUUUUCACUGCUGCUUUUAAUCUUUUUUGUUGCAUUGACUCUAUGCUUCAUGGGUGAUGUUCUUUGAUUUUGUUUGCUAUUUUCUUGUGUUUUGGAUUGGAAAGAAUUGCAGAUUAAAUUUCCGUGGUUCCACUUAUCCUAAUCUCUAAUGUCCAGCUUAUUGAACAAGGGUUUUCAAAUAUGAAGACUAAUCCAUUCUCCAUGUACUCCACCAAUCCUUGAUUUGCAAAGGAAAAUUUAAUUGAACUCGACCAGUCGAACUGUGACCCUGUCAUGAGACUGGUUUGAUCUCUGGUCCAGUUUUAACAACGCUGAUGCUAAUUGCUAGGGGACUGGAUUCUUAGAAACGACACCAUUUAACCUCUUUUCUAGGGGGUCGGGGUUAUUUUCUCCUUGUUUUCUGGAGACUGCACAAUCCCAGAUAAAAAUUGUAUCGACGAAGGCUUUCUACUGUUCCUGCAAAUUAGUAGGUUGCACGCGCUACUUUUGUGAAUAAUUGUUUUCAUUUGCUAUCUUUUUGUACAAUUAAAGCUAUGAAUUUCCAUGCAUGUCUUCUUAAUCGAAUCCAAACUGAAAUGCUGCUUUGCAUUUUUUUUAGUCUUUUGGUCGGCGUGUUUGUUUUAAAAUGAGUGCAUGUUACCUGUUCGAUAAUUUGCUUACUUCAUAACAAGUCCAAAAUCUUCCAUAAAAAUUGUAAUAAUGAAUCUUUGAGCAUAUGCCAAUUGAGUCAAAAGUACCAGAUUAUCUAAAUAAUUUUCUCCUUUAUCUCACUUUGUUUUAUUUUAUCUUACACGAUUGGUCUAAUCUGGUAUAAUAGAAGUUACUCGAAAGAACAUGGAUCUUGAACUCCUUUAUUUGUUUUGAAGGACAAAUAAAUGGAACCAAGAUGGAAAGGCAAGGGCUCAGAAGCCAAAGCUCUUGCAGAUCCAAUGUCAAAGAUUGUUUCACAGCUUUGUACUUCUCUAAUCCAAAUAGAUGCUCUUGGGUUACUCUCAGGAUCCAGUGUGCUUCUUGCAGUGGAAACAGAACAGACUGAGCUUCUCACUGGUGCAUGUUUUGGCCGACCUAUUAUUACAGCUGAGAAGGAUAAGCAAUGGUUUCAACUGGGUUUGGAGGAAGCCUUUUAUUUAUGCUAUUCUCUGAAAUGCCUCAAGAUCGUUGGUGAAGAUAAUUGUCAUAAGAAUGAUGUUGAGUUAUGGCAGUACAUGAAAUCCAAAAAGGCAGUUUUCCCUGAUUUUUACAAGGCUUAUUCUCAUCUUCGAAUGAAAAAUUGGGUUGUGAGGCCAGGAUCCCAGUAUGGUGUAGACUUCGUUGCAUACCGUCAUCAUCCAUCUUUGGUUCAUUCUGAAUAUGCUGUGCUUGUUUUAUCAGAAGAAGAUGCUGAUGUGAAUGGAAGAUUGGGAGUGUGGUCUGAUUUUCAUUGCACAAUUCGACUUUGUGGAAGUGUUGCAAAAACAUUGUUAGUUCUUAGCAUCAACAAAAAUGGUCAUGGUGCUAUCUCUCCAUCGUGUUUAGGGAGAUACUCCAUUAAAGAGCACACAGUCACUAGAUGGAGUCCGGAACAAAGUCGUGAGGAUCAGACAACCAUUGAAAAAGAAACCAAUAUCCCCAAGAUUCAAGGGCAUGAACAUGGCUUUCACUCACAUGGACAGGAACAAUCUCAUGUUCUCAUAGAUCAGGGAAAGAUAUAGUCUGGUACUGCUCUUUCAGUCUUCUGCAAUUGCUUGUCAAUUACAGUAAACAUGCUACUACAUGAAGUGUCAUGAAAGAUAAUUAAAUUAUUAUUGGCACAUUGCAUGUCAUUUCAUAUCGGAGCAUCAAUUUCUCCUUGUAGAAAUGAUUCACGAGUAAGUUCGCCCCCUUAAUUUUCAAGGUGGAGAAAGACUAAUGACACUAGGUUGCACUACGCACAACUUUGUUCUUUUUAACUUGUAGUUCACUCAUUGUUUUUAUCAAGAAAUCUUAAAAAGAUGUAUGCCCUUUUGUUUGUCUAUUGCGAAGUUGAGAAAAAAAAAAAGGUUACUGGGAAAAUGUGUGGUAGGUUAUUAUGUUAACCCAUUCAUAUAUUGUAAUUGGCAAAUUCUCGAAAUAAUAUCAAUCUUUCCUGAAGUGCUCCCACUUCGUCUGCCAUUCAUUGAUAACUUCUCUGACAUCAAGUUAUUAGCUUGUGGGAAAAUUUAUUAGCAGCUUAGCUGCUAAAACCAUGAAGUCAUCGGUUGUGAUUUUGAUAAUGGACUUUAUCAUGGAGCUUAAUAUAAUUGUUUCCAUGCUAUUACUGGUGGUGUCAAUUCAAUUUACAUAUACAAAGUGCUCAAUCUUCUAAUUAGAAUACUUUUUUUUUUCUUUUUUUCUUCUUUCUCUUUUUAGAGCUGGGUUUUGGGUUGGAAGAUACACGUCUUGCUGAAGUCAAAGGAGGACA
RNAcentral lists this unclassified non-coding RNA (2883 nucleotides) under Hevea brasiliensis (rubber tree). The record is from RNAcentral. Lineage: Eukaryota; Viridiplantae; Streptophyta; Magnoliopsida; Malpighiales; Euphorbiaceae.